Small nucleolar RNA from Nannospalax galili (Upper Galilee mountains blind mole rat), 104 nucleotides. RefSeq annotates it as small nucleolar RNA U13. The transcript has a single exon. The record is from RefSeq and is a predicted model, not a curated record. Lineage: Eukaryota; Metazoa; Chordata; Mammalia; Rodentia; Spalacidae.
AUCCUUUUUUGAUUCAUAAGCGGUGAUGACUGGAUGUUCAUGCACAUGCGUGACAUGUGCUGCCCUCAAACCUUGCUACACACUGGCACAUUACCCAUCUGAUG